Molecule: ribosomal RNA, 497 nt
Filed under: uncultured bacterium
Lineage: Bacteria
Description: partial 16S ribosomal RNA
Rfam family: Bacterial small subunit ribosomal RNA
Source: RNAcentral
GAUGAACGCUGGCGGCGUGCCUAAUACAUGCAAGUCGAGCGAACAGACGAGGAGCUUGCUCCUCUGACGUUAGCGGCGGACGGGUGAGUAACACGUGGAUAACCUACCUAUAAGACUGGGAUAACUUCGGGAAACCGGAGCUAAUACCGGAUAAUAUAUUGAACCGCAUGGUUCAAUAGUGAAAGACGGUUUUGCUGUCACUUAUAGAUGGAUCCGCGCCGCAUUAGCUAGUUGGUAAGGUAACGGCUUACCAAGGCAACGAUGCGUAGCCGACUUGAGAGGGUGAUCGGCCACACUGGAACGGAGACACGGUCCAGACUCCUACGGGAGGCAGCAGUAGGGAAUCUUCCGCAAUGGGCGAAAGCCUGACGGAGCAACGCCGCGUGAGUGAUGAAGGUCUUCGGAUCGUAAAACUCUGUUAUUAGGGAAGAACAAAUGUGUAAGUAACUAUGCACGUCUUGACGGUACCUAAUCAGAAAGCCACGGCUAACUACGUG